RNAcentral lists this ribosomal RNA (397 nucleotides) under uncultured bacterium. RNAcentral's name for it is "bacterial SSU rRNA". It matches the Rfam family "Bacterial small subunit ribosomal RNA", at positions 28 to 416 of the family's 1533-position model. The record is from RNAcentral.
GACGAACGCUGGCGGCGUGCCUAACACAUGCAAGUCGAGCGGGAACCUCAGGAGGGGUAACCCUUCUGAGGGGAGAGCGGCGAACGGGUGAGUAACACGUGGGCAACCUGCCCCGGACACCGGGAUAACCCAGGGAAACCUGAGCUAAUACCGGAUACUCCGGCGCGAUCGCAUGGUCGUGCCGGGAAAGCUCCGACGGUCCGGGAUGGGCCCGCGGCCUAUCAGCUUGUUGGUGGGGUAACGGCCCACCAAGGCGACGACGGGUAGCUGGUCUGAGAGGACGGCCAGCCACACUGGGGCUGAGACACGGCCCAGACUCCUACGGGAGGCAGCAGUGGGGGAUCUUGCGCUAAUGCGCGAAAGCGUGACGCAGCGACGCCGCGUGGGGAUGAAGGCC